RNAcentral lists this long non-coding RNA (834 nucleotides) under Coturnix japonica (Japanese quail). RNAcentral's name for it is "lncRNA (ENSCJPG00005012398.1)". Lineage: Eukaryota; Metazoa; Chordata; Aves; Galliformes; Phasianidae. The record is from RNAcentral.
AGAGAGCUGAUCUUUGCCUCUUUUCUUCAUUUUUGGGCAGAAAUUUCACCUGAGUCCUGCAGCUAAACUCCUGAUGGAAGCUGCACUGCUGUGCAAAGCAGCCAGCUGGUGCCAAAUUGGCAUGAAGCCCCCGUCCCCUCCUUCUGCAGCUCUUUCUGUUGAGAUGCUCUUGCAGAGGAAUGAGCUCCAGCUCUGAGGACAAGAGAGACCGGCAGUGGUAGCUGAAGCCAUGAAGUGACUUGGCUGGAUGUCUCCACCAGUGAUGUGACUGUGCUUAGCAAGAAAGAAGCGGUGCUGGGCAGCUCUGAGAGGUUACCAGAACUGGGUAAGAAGAAUGACACAGACAGUGUUCACCAUCAUAGGUUCAAAGGAUCCAUCAAAGUUAACUUCAGAUAUUUAAUGAGAACCACCUUGACAUGCAAACGUAGCCUUCCAGACCCCUUUCCAGCAAGGCAUCAGUGUGUAUUCCCAAAUAUAUGGCUUGGGGUUAUAGAGAGCUAACAGAAAAGGAUUCUGAAUGUAAAAGAAAAUGAAAUGCUAGAAACUUUUCUGCAUGCAUUUAUUAUUCCAACUUCUGUUUUUGGUCUUCUCCUUAUGAGUCAUUGUAUUAAUCAAAUCACUGACAAUGUUUUGGCUUCAGUUUCUCUCUUAAUAGCAUAAGCAGGAUGGCCAUAAAUUAACAAGGGGGUACCUGGAACAUGCAGAAAUCUUUAUUUACAGAAGCUGGUAAUCUGCAAUUACUCAGUGCAGCAUAGAGUAUUUUUAUAGUUGGUCUCAUUAAUCUAAUUCCACGUGUCAGAGUCAUAGCAUCAUCUGGAGUACUCUACCUCAUUA